UACGAAGGGGGCUAGCGUUGCUCGGAAUCACUGGGCGUAAAGGGUGCGUAGGCGGGUCUUUAAGUCAGGGGUGAAAUCCUGGAGCUCAACUCCAGAACUGCCUUUGAUACUGGGGAUCUUGAGUCGGGAGAGGUGAGUGGAACUGCGAGUGUAGAGGUGAAAUUCGUAGAUAUUCGCAAGAACACCAGUGGCGAAGGCGGCUCACUGGCCCGGUACUGACGCUGAGGUGCGAAAGCGUGGGGAGCAAACAGG
Molecule: ribosomal RNA, 252 nt
Filed under: uncultured bacterium
Lineage: Bacteria
Description: partial 16S ribosomal RNA
Rfam family: Bacterial small subunit ribosomal RNA
Source: RNAcentral